UACAGAGGGUGCAAGCGUUAAUCGGAAUGACUGGGCGUAAAGCGUGUGUAGGUGGUUGGAUAAGUUAGAUGUGAAAUCCCAGGGCUUAACCUUGGAACUGCGUUUAAGACUGUUUAACUAGAGUACUGUAGAGGAUAGUGGAAUUUCCAGUGUAGCGGUGAAAUGCGUAGAUAUCGGGAGGAACACCAGUGGCGAAGGCGAUCACCUGGGGUUGUUCUGACGCUGAGGAGCGAAAGCUAGGGGAGCAAACGGG
Molecule: ribosomal RNA, 253 nt
Filed under: uncultured prokaryote
Description: partial 16S ribosomal RNA
Rfam family: Bacterial small subunit ribosomal RNA
Source: RNAcentral